UGGSAWAMKGGUWUGKUAGAWUAUUYAUUUAYAGUCUGGCCUGCCCACUGACUUUUWRGGGCCGCGGUAAUUUGACCGUGCGAAGGUAGCAUAGUCAUUAGUUUUUUAAUUGAAGGCUUGUAUGAACGGUCGGACGAAGAAUUAGCUGUCUUUCUGUUAUCUUGAAUUUGACUUUUAAGUGAGAAKGCUUAAAUUCGCUGGAGGGACGAUAAGACCCUAUAAAACUUUAUAUAGCUUCAUCAUAGUGUAACAAUUUUGUUUAAGCCUACUUUAKUUGUAGUUAUAUUUUACUGGGGCGGUAUUUACAUAAUUUGUAACUGUUUUAUUAACUGAAUAAACWUAAUUAGGUUUUGAUCCUUUAUUAAAGAUUAAAAGAUUAAKUUACUUUAGGGAUAACAGCGUAAUUUUYUCUKAGAGUUCUUAYCGACGAGAGUAGUUGCGACCUCGAUGUUGAAUUAAAACUUCGGAUUGGUGCAGUCGCUUUUCUGGUGGGUCUGUUCGACCUUUAAAGUUUUACKUGAUCUGAGUUCAGACCGGGUCAUAGCUGUUU
RNAcentral lists this ribosomal RNA (550 nucleotides) under Conchodytes meleagrinae. Its description in RNAcentral is "partial large subunit ribosomal RNA". Lineage: Eukaryota; Metazoa; Arthropoda; Malacostraca; Decapoda; Palaemonidae. The record is from RNAcentral.